AACGCACAUUGCGCCCCUUGGUAUUCCGGGGGGCAUGCCUGUUCGAGCGUCAUUUCACCCCUCAAGCUCGGCUUGGUCUUGGGCAUCGCCGGCGACGGCGGGCCUCAAAAGCAGUGGCGGCGCCAUCGGGCUCUCAGCGUAGUAAAUUCUCCUCGCUGUUGGGCUCCGGUGGUCGCUGGCCAGCAACCCCCAACUUUCUAAGUUUGACCUCGGAUCAGGUAGGGAUACCCGCUGAACUUAA
This 241-nucleotide unclassified non-coding RNA is filed under the name uncultured Ascomycota. Its description in RNAcentral is "sequence contains ITS2". Lineage: Eukaryota; Fungi; Ascomycota. The record is from RNAcentral.